This 436-nucleotide long non-coding RNA is filed under the name Gossypium barbadense (sea-island cotton). Its description in RNAcentral is "long non-coding RNA (GBAR_LNC007219)". Lineage: Eukaryota; Viridiplantae; Streptophyta; Magnoliopsida; Malvales; Malvaceae. The record is from RNAcentral.
AAAGAUUAGAACUUUGAAUUUCCAGAUCUGAAAUAAAAUCCCCAAAUCAGCAAAGAAUCAAAUUGAGAAUAGAAAUAAGUGUUAGGGUUCUUGAAACCCUCAAGGAGAUUAUGAUUCUGCCCAAUUGAACACCAAGAUAGUUUUCCCCAAAUUUCGACAAUCUAAUUUCACCCAAAAAGAGUAUGGAAAAACCCUAGAAAUUGGGGAUUUUUGGGCUGAUUCCUUAAGAUAGAAAAAGGCUGAAAACACAAUAAGAACAGAAAAUAGAUUAGAUAAUGAUUCAGCACAAGUAGAAAUAAAGAAAGAAUUGACAGUAAGAAAUUAAAAGAUAAGUCCUAAGAAGCCUUGAAAUCUCGAAAGAUCUCACAACUCCCUUCAAACGGCUCUAAUCUCCCCUCCAAAGAAUAUCAAUGGCAAGAAGAAGGUUGAAGAUGGC